AGAAAAGGGUAUCAUGUCAAUUCCAAAACGAGAGGUGCUAUAGUGUAAAUCCAAUUGAAACCAUAUUACUAUAGUGUAAUUCCAAAGAAAAGGGUAUCAUGUCAAUUACAAAAAGCAAACGCAAAACCCAAAUCCAAAUUCAAAAAAACGCAGAGAUCGAAGUAAAAGAGGGAGAAUGCUCACAUCUUAGGAAGAUUAGUGGAGAUCCCGGGCCAGAAGGUGUCAACCAAGUUGUUGAGGUUGGAGAGCGCGUAAAGCUUGAGCAAGAGAUGNGACAUCCCACCUGCGGAACUCACCAAAAUUGUUUAGGGAUUUAGGGAACGAACAGAUAAGAGAGUUUGAAUGGAGAACUUAUGGAUUGGGAACAAUAGGAAUAAAGAGGGAUUAGAUAGAUGAAACCUAGAUUAUGGGAGCGUAAAACAAAGAAAUAAGGUUAGAUACGUGAAAACCUAGGUUAGACACUACAGUAGUGAGCGGCGUCGCCGACAGUGACCUUGGCCAACUGGUAGAGGUGUGAUGAUGAUAAAGGACUUGACAAAAAUGGAGGUGAUACCAUAGUUAAUCUUGGAAAGGUGCAGAAGUGACUGCUCUAAGGUGGUUGUCGUUGUUUGCGAGAAGAGAGGUGAAGAAACCCUACGAAGGUAUGAGAACUAAAAGUGAGUGACUUUGCACAGAUGAGAAAAGGAAAAUAAAGUUUUACUU
RNAcentral lists this long non-coding RNA (702 nucleotides) under Vigna radiata. RNAcentral describes it as "long non-coding RNA (VRAD_LNC017469)". Lineage: Eukaryota; Viridiplantae; Streptophyta; Magnoliopsida; Fabales; Fabaceae. The record is from RNAcentral.